RNAcentral lists this non-coding RNA (80 nucleotides) under Oryzias latipes (Japanese medaka). RNAcentral describes it as "Eukaryotic large subunit ribosomal RNA". It matches the Rfam family "Eukaryotic large subunit ribosomal RNA", at positions 24 to 103 of the family's 3401-position model. The record is from Rfam by way of RNAcentral. Lineage: Eukaryota; Metazoa; Chordata; Actinopteri; Beloniformes; Adrianichthyidae.
CCCGCUGAAUUGAAGCAGAUUACUGAGUGGAGGAAAAGAAACUAACCAGGAUUCCCUCAGUAGUGGCGAGUGAAGAGGGA